This 415-nucleotide ribosomal RNA is filed under the name uncultured prokaryote. RNAcentral's name for it is "bacterial SSU rRNA". It matches the Rfam family "Bacterial small subunit ribosomal RNA", at positions 505 to 918 of the family's 1533-position model. The record is from RNAcentral.
GUGCCAGCCGCCGCGGUAAUACGUAGGAGACGAGCGUUAUCCGGAUUUACUGGGCGUAAAGAGGGCGUAGGCGGUCUUUCAAGUCGGAUGUGAAAUCUCCCGGCUUAACUGGGAGGGGUCAUUCGAUACUGUUGGGCUAGAGGGCAGCAGAGGGAGGUGGAAUUCCCGGUGUAGUGGUGAAAUGCGUAGAUAUCGGGAGGAACACCAGUGGCGAAGGCGGCCUCCUGGGCUGUUUCUGACGCUGAGGCCCAAAAGCGUGGGGAGCGAACAGGAUUAGAUACCCUGGUAGUCCACGCUGUAAACUAUGGACACUAGGUAUGGGGAGUAUCGACCCUCUCUGUGCCGAAGCUAACGCUUUAAGUGUCCCGCCUGGGGACUACGGCCGCAAGGCUAAAACUCAAAUGAAUUGGCGGGG